RNAcentral lists this unclassified non-coding RNA (214 nucleotides) under Hevea brasiliensis (rubber tree). The record is from RNAcentral. Lineage: Eukaryota; Viridiplantae; Streptophyta; Magnoliopsida; Malpighiales; Euphorbiaceae.
AUUGUAAAUAUUACAGCUUGGCAUGCUAAUAAACUUGACAUACUUGUUUAACUCUAUCUGUAUUAAUGUUAAGGCAGUCUAGUAGUGGUAUAAGACAACUAGAUGUAGGUUGGAUCCAACUUUGUUUCAAUUUGUUGUUGUCUCCAUAUCUACUGGACCGUAAGUGGUGUAAGUAAAACAGCAUCCAUUGAAAUGAAUCGUUCACUGAUGUUUG